ACCCAGACUCCUACGGGAGGCAGCAGUGGGGAAUAUUGGGCAAUGGACGCAAGUCUGACCCAGCAACGCCGCGUGAAGGAAGAAGGCUUUCGGGUUGUAAACUUCUUUUAAGGGGGAAGAGUAGAAGACGGUACCCCUUGAAUAAGCCACGGCUAACUACGUGCCAGCAGCCGCGGUAAUACGUAGGGGGCGAGCGUUAUCCGGAUUCACUGGGUGUAAAGGGAGCGUAGACGGCCAUGCAAGCCAGGGGUGAAAGCCCGGGGCCCAACCCCGGGACUGCCCUUGGAACUGCAUGGCUGGAGUGCGGGAGGGGCAGGCGGAAUUCCUGGUGUAGCGGUGAAAUGCGUAGAUAUUAGGAGGAACACCAGUGGCGAAGGCGGCUUGCUGGACUGUAACUGACGUUGAGGCUCGAAAGCGUGGGGAGCAAACAGGAUUAGAUACCCUAGUAC
Molecule: ribosomal RNA, 449 nt
Filed under: uncultured bacterium
Lineage: Bacteria
Description: bacterial SSU rRNA
Rfam family: Bacterial small subunit ribosomal RNA
Source: RNAcentral